GUCACUAUGGCAACAAGACAUUGUCAUUAAUGGUCCAAAGUCAGGAGAGGGAGUGGAACAUUCAUGCCACUUGGUGGAGGCAUAAUCCCCAGAAGUCAGCAACUAGAGGCAAUCACCUGAUCAUCCUUAGCUACAGCUCUUGUUUGGAACUUGGAAAGAAUGAAGUCAUCUAAGGAUUUAGGACACCUGAGCACAUUUGUUAGGUUUAUGGGGAAAAAAAUCACUGGAAAGUAAUUGAUGGAUUUGCAUGAAAGAGAGGAAAAAAUGGAAGGAGUCAAGUUUUGGAAGGCCAGAGGGGAUGGAAUGAACAGUAAAGCCUAUUUAUUGACUAUCUUUUGCAAGAUCUAUUGCAAAGCUUCUUCAACUAGCUAUAUAAUCAGGUGGAUGGAUAGAUAGACAUGGAAGAAAAGAACAUUCAGAGCACUCUUCUCUUUGGUCAAACUUCCCCAUAUAGUCCUUAGAACUGAGGCAGACAUUUCACAAACCUAGAUCACUUUGGUCUGGUCCUAUGCCCUUGGAACCACCAUGGACUUUGGAGUGAGAAAAGAUAAAAAGGAGUGAGAAGCUGGCAGAGAGACCAACAGAAGCAACAACAAAAAGAAUGACAAAGACAUAGUUUCAGAAAGCUGCAUGUCUGUCUAAGAAUGUCUGUAUUUACAUUUAGUGGAGUCUUGGAUAUGUGUCC
This 685-nucleotide long non-coding RNA is filed under the name Sarcophilus harrisii (Tasmanian devil). Its description in RNAcentral is "lncRNA (ENSSHAG00000026910.1)". Lineage: Eukaryota; Metazoa; Chordata; Mammalia; Dasyuromorphia; Dasyuridae. The record is from RNAcentral.